UACGUAGGGUGCAAGCGUUGCCCGGAUUUAUUGGGCGUAAAGGGCGCGUAGGCGGCUCGGCACGUCCGUUGUGAAAUCGCCCGGCUCAACUGGGCGGGGUCAGCGGAUACGGCCGAGCUUGAGCAAGCUAGGGGGCAAUGGAAUUCCCGGUGUAGUGGUGGAAUGCGUAGAUAUCGGGAGGAACACCGGUGGCGAAGGCGGCUUCCUGGACCGACACUGACGCUGAGGCGCGAAAGCUAGGGGAGCAAACGGG
RNAcentral lists this ribosomal RNA (253 nucleotides) under uncultured bacterium. RNAcentral describes it as "partial 16S ribosomal RNA". It matches the Rfam family "Bacterial small subunit ribosomal RNA", at positions 524 to 776 of the family's 1533-position model. The record is from RNAcentral.